Molecule: ribosomal RNA, 664 nt
Filed under: uncultured Lachnospiraceae bacterium
Lineage: Bacteria; Bacillati; Bacillota; Clostridia; Lachnospirales; Lachnospiraceae
Description: bacterial SSU rRNA
Rfam family: Bacterial small subunit ribosomal RNA
Source: RNAcentral
GCAAGUCGAGCGGGAAACAUUUCAUUGAAGCUUCGGCGGAUUUGGUCUGUUUCUAGUGGCGGACGGGUGAGUAACGCGUGGGUAACCUGCCUUAUACUGGGGGAUAACAGCCAGAAAUGGCUGCUAAUACCGCAUAAGCGCACAGGGCCGCAUGGUCCGGUGUGAAAAACUCCGGUGGUAUAAGAUGGACCCGCGUUGGAUUAGCUGGUUGGCAGGGCAGCGGCCUACCAAGGCGACGAUCCAUAGCCGGCCUGAGAGGGUGAACGGCCACAUUGGGACUGAGACACGGCCCAGACUCCUACGGGAGGCAGCAGUGGGGAAUAUUGCACAAUGGGGGAAACCCUGAUGCAGCGACGCCGCGUGAAGGAAGAAGUAUCUCGGUAUGUAAACUUCUAUCAGCAGGGAAGAUAAUGACGGUACCUGACUAAGAAGCCCCGGCUAACUACGUGCCAGCAGCCGCGGUAAUACGUAGGGGGCAAGCGUUAUCCGGAUUUACUGGGUGUAAAGGGAGCGUAGACGGCGCAGCAAGUCUAAUGUGAAAGGCAGGGGCUUAACCCCUGGACUGCAUUGGAAACUGUUGAGCUUGAGUGCCGGAGGGGUAAGCGGAAUUCCUAGUGUAGCGGUGAAAUGCGUAGAUAUUAGGAGGAACACCAGUGGCGAAGGC